AGGUAGAUAAUGCAGACAUGUUUUAAAUGGCCAACUAAGAACAAAAGAAAAAAACUGACAGGAGAAGUGUAUACUAUAGAAUAUAAUACUACCUGAAAUGAACUAUAUCAAGUUCUUAUUGCAAAUCAUUUAAGACUGGGAAGGCCCUGGCAUCAGACUGCAGUACUUGAAUAUGCUUCCACCAUGUAAUAGCUAAAUCAUAGGCAACAAUUCCUUUGAUUGACAUGGAUACCCAGUAGGCUAGGUUCUUCAGAGAGACAGCUGUCAUCCCCAACUCCCUCAAAGAGCAGCAUCUUUUGGAAAUUAAAAGCCAAAGAUAUGGAAACUGGCUACAACUGGGUACUUAAGCAGGCCUCCUGAUAAAAUGCUGAUGAGAUAAAACACAGCUGAAGGUCAAUAACUGAAACAAAAGGCUUGGGUCCUGGACUCUGAUCACACCAAAAUAAAAAUCCUCUGUUAGAAAUGCUGAGGUUGAUGGUCAGUGCUGGAAGCUACAAUUCUGCUACGUCACAGAACUGGAACCACAAAGUUUGGACCUCAGGCCCAAACCAUCCUAGAGGAAGUGCUGGUGUUCCCCCAACCAUGAAGCUUAUGAGUCCCAUAGCUCAAGGCUGGGGGCCCUUUAAAGUCUGAUGUCUUACUCAGUGGAUCCCUGUGCACCGGGCAUUGAGAAGCUGGCUCACCUGCUGCUGCUCGGCCUCUGGAAGUUUUCCCCCAAUCCAAGGUGACUUGAAAUGUCUUAAGGAAUCUUCAUGGAGGUUGUUAUAGACUGACUUGUCUCCUCAAAAUCCAUGUUUGUUGAAGCCCUAACACCCAGUGUGGCUGUAUUUGGACAAAAGGUCUUUAAAGAGGUCACUAAGGUUAAACAAGGUCAUCAGGUUGGGAUCCUAAUUCAAUGGAACAUGUGUUCUCAUCAGAAGAAGAGGAGUUAACAGGAAAAUGCAUGCAGAGGAAACUCUGGGUGAGGACACAGUGAAGAUGAAACCACCAACACACCAAGAAGAGCAAUCACACCAGAAACCAGUGCUGCUAACACCUUGAUCUUGGGCUUCCAGCCUCAAGAACUGCGAGAGAAAAUAUAUACACGCUGUUUAAACCACACAGACUUUGGUCUCCUUCAGGAGCCCCAGUUAGUAGCAACAUCCAUUGGGUGCCAGUUCACAUUCAUCUCUUCAUUGUUGUCAUGGUUUCAGAGUUUAUAUUAGAAUGUUGGUAAGUUCUCAACUUGCCAUUCUCACAUCACA
Molecule: long non-coding RNA, 1244 nt
Organism: Bubalus bubalis (water buffalo)
Lineage: Eukaryota; Metazoa; Chordata; Mammalia; Artiodactyla; Bovidae
Exons: 2
Source: RefSeq, a predicted model, not a curated record